Long non-coding RNA from Ornithodoros turicata, 655 nucleotides. RefSeq lists it as uncharacterized. The transcript is spliced from 3 exons. Lineage: Eukaryota; Metazoa; Arthropoda; Arachnida; Ixodida; Argasidae. The record is from RefSeq and is a predicted model, not a curated record.
GCAGUGCUUUCCUUGAAUCUAUCUUCCAAGACUGUUGCAUCUGGACGUGACGAGGGUGAUGAAUUCAUGGAAGUGGAAGGAACAGGAGAGGAAGACAUCUGGCAAUGGUCAUGACAGUUGUCCGUCAGGAAUCUACAGGUGGUGAGCAUGCGUAAGGAAUUGACAUAUCUCAGUACAACUUAGACCUGCCUGUUGCACAUGAGAUGUGUGACUCUACUUACACACAUAAGCUUCUGCAGGUUCGAUGCAUGUAUAUUUUGAAACAUGAAAGACAGAGUGCUAAAAAUAUAUCUGAGGUGAAAAAUUGAGCAGUUCACUGCAGUAAUUCUAUAGAUUUAUUUUCAGCAUUUUGGGAAAAAUAUAGUGAUGGCAAGAUUACCUGUGUUGUACUGCCAGACCAUCCGCCGUUGGAGUUCCAUGUCCCAGUUAUUAUAUAUAAUAGCUGUUUGAGGUUAUUACAUAUUUAUUAUGCAAGUUUUGUACCUGUGAGUUCUUGUAAAUGUGCUCUGCGGUGAUCAUACUGGACAGAGAGCUAUGCCUGUAUAAUAACAGUGACUAAUGUUCUCCUGCCCAUAAACCUAUUCCUAGGGUACAUCUGCACCCUUGGAAGUCACUGGAGAGGCGUGUUAGCUUAGCUCAAUUGGUAAGGGCCCUG